GCCGGGCGUGGUGGUGCACGCCUGUAGUCCUAACUACUCGGGAGGCUGAAGCAGGAGAAUCACUUGAACCCAGGAGGCGGAGAUUGCAGUGAGCCAAGAUCACGCCACUGCACUCCAGCCUGGGUGACAGAGUGAGACUCCGUCUCAA
This 148-nucleotide non-coding RNA is filed under the name Pan paniscus (pygmy chimpanzee). RNAcentral also lists the same sequence under 1 other name. Lineage: Eukaryota; Metazoa; Chordata; Mammalia; Primates; Hominidae. The record is from Rfam by way of RNAcentral.